GGACUUGUUCCCACAAGUAAUAUUCCAACAAUGGUCAAUUGGACGAAAGGACUCAAUUAUAGGUUUUGCCAAAUCUCAGAAACUAAAUUACUUGAAUUUAAAAAUACAGGGACUAAAUUGUAGAUUUUGUCAAACCUCAUAGACUAAAUUGUAAUUUACCUAUUAGAAUUUCAGGAUAAAUUUUGGAAUAUUGGAUAAAAUUUUUUCAAUUUUGAAAGGUUUGGUUUAAUUGUACAAAAUUAAAAGGUUUGGAUAAAACGAACAACAAACGUAAAAGUUUGGAUUUUUUCAGCCAAUUGGCCAUCAUUUUAUGUCUCCUCUCAACUCGUAAUAGCCAAUUUUAAACCAAGUUCUUCUUCCAAUAUUAGGGGUGUGCAAACAUCAAUUUGAAAUGAAAAGAAAAACAAACUGAACCGACACUUUACGGUUUUUCGGUUAGGUUUUUUAUUUGAAGAUUUUUGGUUAUUUUAGUUUAGUUAGGUUCAGUUCUAACACUGAAAUAACAUCACUGAACCUGUUAAUAAUACCGAGUUGUUUUAUGUCAAUAACCAAAGACAUAAACCCUACCAACCUCACAUCACACCUCCUUUUCAGUUUUGAGAUUCUUCUCUCAAUCCCAAUGCCUUUGUGAUUCUUCUCUUGCCUCUCUCAGAUCUCGAUCUCACGAUGAAAAGUGGUGAGGCUUAGCUAGAGAUGAUCAUGAGACAGCUGCACAAAAGAGAACCCUUGCCACCCUUCACUGCUCAGAUCUCAAUCUAUCUUUGCUCUAUGCAGUUUGCAAUCCUAAACCUUUUGCUUCUUUUUUUGUUGCUGUUUUGGAUUUUAUUUCUUGAUUUGAAUGUGAUGCAAGUAACAUGAGAAAUCCAUUGAUAAUUCCUUUGCUUGUGGUUCAUUUUUGAAUGUUUACAUAGGAAUUAUUUCUGAUUCAAUAAUUAAAAAAAAGAAUGGAUAGUAAUUUUUAGGUUACCUUUUUCCUUAAAACAAAUAAUAAAAUAAAACAUUUGAUUUUUUGAGUUGCU
RNAcentral lists this unclassified non-coding RNA (1019 nucleotides) under Hevea brasiliensis (rubber tree). Lineage: Eukaryota; Viridiplantae; Streptophyta; Magnoliopsida; Malpighiales; Euphorbiaceae. The record is from RNAcentral.